RNAcentral lists this ribosomal RNA (433 nucleotides) under uncultured bacterium. Its description in RNAcentral is "partial 16S ribosomal RNA". It matches the Rfam family "Bacterial small subunit ribosomal RNA", at positions 29 to 507 of the family's 1533-position model. The record is from RNAcentral.
AGCGAACGCUGGCGGCAGGCCUAACACAUGCAAGUCGAACGGACCCUUCGGGGGUAUUGGCGGACGGGUGAGUAACACGUGGGAACGGGCCUUUAGGGUCGGAAUAGCUCCUGGAAACGGGUGGUAAUGCCGAAUGUGCCCUUCGGGGGAAAGAUUUAUCGCCUUUAAAGCGGCCCGCGUCUGAUUAGCUAGUUGGUGAGGUAACGGCUCACCAAGGCGACGAUCAGUAGCUGGUCUGAGAGGAUGACCAGCCACACUGGGACUGAGACACGGCCCAGACUCCUACGGGAGGCAGCAGUGGGGAAUCUUGCGCAAUGGGCGGAAGCCUGACGCAGCCAUGCCGCGUGAAUGAUGAAGGUCUUAGGAUUGUAAAAUUCUUUCACCUGGGACGAUAAUGACGGUACCCGGAGAAGAAGCCCCGGCUAACUUCGUG